GUAUGGAGCAAGCGUUAUCCGGAUUUACUGGGUGUAAAGAGAGCGCAGGCGGUCUGGCAAGUCUGAUGUGAAAUACCGGGGCUCAACUCCGGGACUGCAUUGGAAACUGUCAGACUGGAGUGUCGGAGAGGCAGGCGGAAUUCCUGGUGUAGCGGUGAAAUGCGUAGAUAUCAGGAGGAACACCAGUGGCGAAGGCGGCCUGCUGGACGAUGACUGACGCUGAGGCUCGAAAGCGUGGGGAGCAAA
RNAcentral lists this ribosomal RNA (246 nucleotides) under uncultured bacterium. RNAcentral describes it as "partial 16S ribosomal RNA". It matches the Rfam family "Bacterial small subunit ribosomal RNA", at positions 527 to 772 of the family's 1533-position model. The record is from RNAcentral.